GAUGAACGCUGGCGGCGUGCCUAAUACAUGCAAGUCGAGCGAACGGACGAGAAGCUUGCUUCUCUGAUGUUAGCGGCGGACGGGUGAGUAACACGUGGAUAACCUACCUAUAAGACUGGGAUAACUUCGGGAAACCGGAGCUAAUACCGGAUAAUAUUUUGAACCGCAUGGUUCAAAAGUGAAAGACGGUCUUGCUGUCACUUAUAGAUGGAUCCGCGCUGCAUUAGCUAGUUGGUAAGGUAACGGCUUACCAAGGCAACGAUGCAUAGCCGACCUGAGAGGGUGAUCGGCCACACUGGAACUGAGACACGGUCCAGACUCCUACGGGAGGCAGCAGUAGGGAAUCUUCCGCAAUGGGCGAAAGCCUGACGGAGCAACGCCGCGUGAGUGAUGAAGGUCUUCGGAUCGUAAAACUCUGUUAUUAGGGAAGAACAUAUGUGUAAGUAACUGUGCACAUCUUGACGGUACCUAAUCACAAAGCCACGGCUAACUACGUG
This 497-nucleotide ribosomal RNA is filed under the name uncultured bacterium. Its description in RNAcentral is "partial 16S ribosomal RNA". It matches the Rfam family "Bacterial small subunit ribosomal RNA", at positions 28 to 507 of the family's 1533-position model. The record is from RNAcentral.